UUACGGCCAUAUCCCGUUGAAAUCGGUUCUUGUACUAUCACCGAAGUUAAGCAACGCCGAGCCUAGUCAGCACGUAGAUGGGUGACUGCUUGGGAAUAUCAGGUGCUGUAAG
Molecule: non-coding RNA, 112 nt
Organism: Acanthosepion pharaonis
Lineage: Eukaryota; Metazoa; Mollusca; Cephalopoda; Sepiida; Sepiidae
Source: the annotation of a GenBank genome assembly